This 2807-nucleotide long non-coding RNA is filed under the name Homo sapiens (human). RNAcentral's name for it is "HSALNT0315297". The record is from RNAcentral. Lineage: Eukaryota; Metazoa; Chordata; Mammalia; Primates; Hominidae.
GGAAUACAGAGAAAGGACUAGGAAUCAUUCUUCAAAAUAUUUAAUAACUAAUACGGCACAGGCACAGACAAGUCAAGACUGACACUGGCACAAAUAAUAGGUAUCACUGCAUUGGAGCAUACUUACUGAGUACCAAUUAUUUCACCCUUCAAAAAUAACAAUGAGAUCACAACAUAGGUAUCAACAUAGAAAGAUGUCCAAGUUAUAGCCCAGUGAGGAAACAAAUUUGUGUAACACGAGGUAUAACAUGGUCCAAUUUAUAAAUGUUUAGAGAAAUCUGAUGAGACUUACAGAUUACCCCCACAGGAUUCUGGCAAAUAGGUAUAGAACCUCAGGCAAAGAGAUCUCCUGAGAGUCUUAUUCCUGAGUUCUAGUCCUAAAUCUACCAUGUUGCUUAACCCUUACAUGCCUCGGGUUCUAUGAAAUCAAGGAGUUAAACUAGAAAAUCUUUACGCUAUUCCAGUUCUCAUUUGCUAUGAGUAUAAGAGCAAUUCUUUCUUAGGUCACUUUUGUGAAAGAAAGGUUUAAAAAACCUACUUCGAAGAUUAUUGCAAGGCUUAAAAAGAGCAGGUUUGUGAAUAUGCAUUGUAAACUGUGAAUAUAGUAUAAUAACAAUAAUAAUCCAUAGCUUGAAAAAGCUAUGUACUACAUAAAUUGUAGCCUGUACUACAAUUUAUUAGUUGUUCAUACUAGUUCUUCUUAACUUCAGCUCACUUGGGGAUAUUAUGUACACAAAUUCUUCAUCAAAAAGCCCAGAGCCUUAUGUUUAAGGUUACUUUAGGGGCUAAACCAUAUCAUAUAUCAGCCUCAGGGGUAAAAAAAAAAAAAAUCUGUUGCAGCAAAGUUGACUUCAUUAAACUUCUGAAAAGUGAAUCCUAUUUUCCCACUGAUGACCUUGAUAAAAUCAGAAUCACGUCUCCUAGAAAAUAUUUCAGUGGAUUAGGUUGCAAACUCAUUUUUCUAUUUAAAGAAUUAUAGAAGUUAGCUAAAUAUCUUUGAGGGGUCUCUGUCAACUAAAAUAGCCUGUGGUUCUGAUUCUGUUUUAGGAUUCAGUCCAGGAGUUACCAUUUCUCAAACUGGGAUGCCAGUGGGUGUGUCCCGCUCAGAUUUUCAUGGGGUCUUAGGAAUGUGUCUCCCCUCUUGAUGUCAAUCUGGUAAAGCGGGGUUUACUCUGAAUCUGUUUCUUUUUUAACUGUAUGGCCACCAAGGACAGAAAUAGAAUUUGGACUGAUGUCACUGAAGGAACAAUUCAACGUAAAAAACUUUCUAACAACCAGAGCUCUCUAAUAAAGAAGUAGCCAGUAAUCAAAGGAACUGAGUUACUGUGGCAGGAGAAAAGAAACAGGGGAGCUCACUGCUUAUUGGGGAUAAGCAUCCAUUUUAGGAUAUUUUUGCUCAUCUUUUAUCUCUUCUAAUUGUAGGCGCCCUGAGGACAGCUUUUUACAUUUUGUUGCUUUCUGCAUCUCUGGACAUAUUGUGGAUGUUUAAUAAUUAUAUUUUUAAUGAUUGAAGGAAUAACACAGAAGGGAAUCCUGCAUUUAUUGAGCAGGGCGUUGGAAUGCAAAACUUUAAGAUACUUUAACUGUGAAAUUCUUGGAAGCAUUCAUCAUCCUGUGGAAAGCUAAAUUCAAUGAGGUCAGGAAAUCCAAAUGCAGGAAGAAAAAUGAAAACUUCAGCUAAAAUCAUUACAGUGGUUAAGGGACAGGAGACAGGAAAAUUCUGGGCAGAAGAGGGCAGGUCCCCAGCGAGGGCUUCACCUUCAAGCCUGGAACUAUGGCCCAAAGUGAGAAUGUACAUCCCUGUUUUCCCGCUUGAAUGUUGCCUUUUCCAAAACCACCCAUGGCCUCCCCUGCCCCCAUCCUGUGCCCAUAAAAACCCCAGGAUCAGCCAGCAGAGAGAGGAGAAGAGGAGAUGCAGCUGGAUGUCAGAAACUACCGUUGGAGAGAAGCAGCUUGACUUCAGAGGGACAGGUUGAUGGCACAGCUUUGGAGAGGGGUUUGGCCAUCCCCAGCCAGACUCCAGAGAAAGAUUACCUUCUCCUAAUCCGUCCCCUUUGCAGCUCCCCUUCCUGCUGAGAGCCACCUUCAUCGGCAAUAAAAUCCCCCACAUUGACCAUCCUUCUAAUUCAUGUAUGCAACAUUCUUCCUGGAUGCCAGAAAAGAACUCAGGUGUGGGUGCAAAAGGCUGUCACACUGACCCUCUACUGAGCUGUUAACACUUAAGCUGUCCAUGGAUGGCAAAGCUAAAAGAGCACCGACUAUAACACUCCUUCUGGGGCUUCAGGGGUCAUGGGCACCCUCAAGACACUGCCACAGGACCGGCACAAAGUUUGUUUCUGCUGGCACCCCAAAACGCCCACCCCAGCUCGUGCACCUCCUCACCUGCAUGCCCCCUUCAGCAAGGGGUUAAGCACUGUGGGUUUGAGUGAGUAGAGCUUGCCCCUGCCGGUGCUGAAGCAGCUGACUAGUUCCAGUGCCUGCACUCCAGUUCCUGCCCACAGAGGGGUCAGGGAAAUUUCCUGCUUCAACAUCACUGUAGUGCUACAAAUGUACUAGGUUUAUUAAUAGUGCCCCACAAAUUAAAAAUAAAGUUAUGGCUGUUUUUCUAUUUUUUUAAAAAAGUCCAGUGGCCCUGAUAUAUGAAUACACAGUUAUUUUUCUAGGAACAGACAUAAAAAUUGGGAAUGCAUAUGCAUUCCUAGAGAAACAAAUUUUUGUUGUCACAAAGUAAACAAGCUUAUAUUAUUUGUUAGAGCUCAGAAACAAAAUGAUAACCUUAUAAAACAUUUAAAAAAGAACUAACACCAA